RNAcentral lists this transfer RNA (72 nucleotides) under Anguilla anguilla (European eel). It matches the Rfam family "tRNA". From Rfam's summary of the family: Transfer RNA (tRNA) molecules are approximately 80 nucleotides in length. Their secondary structure includes four short double-helical elements and three loops (D, anti-codon, and T loops). The record is from Rfam by way of RNAcentral. Lineage: Eukaryota; Metazoa; Chordata; Actinopteri; Anguilliformes; Anguillidae.
GGCGAAGUAGCUCAGUGGUAGAGCGCAUGCUUUGCAUGUAUGAGGUCCUGGGUUCGAUCCUCUGUAUCUCCA